UGGGGUAUGGCUCAGUGGUAGAGCACUUGCCUACCAAGCAAGAAGGCUUUGGUUCUAUCACCAGCGCUGCAA
RNAcentral lists this transfer RNA (72 nucleotides) under Urocitellus parryii (Arctic ground squirrel). Its description in RNAcentral is "Spermophilus parryii (Arctic ground squirrel) tRNA". It matches the Rfam family "tRNA". From Rfam's summary of the family: Transfer RNA (tRNA) molecules are approximately 80 nucleotides in length. Their secondary structure includes four short double-helical elements and three loops (D, anti-codon, and T loops). RNAcentral also lists the same sequence under 1 other name. Lineage: Eukaryota; Metazoa; Chordata; Mammalia; Rodentia; Sciuridae. The record is from Rfam by way of RNAcentral.